GUGAGGAAUUUUCCGCAAUGGGCGAAAGCCUGACGGAGCAAUGCCGCGUGAAGGAUGAAGGCCUAUGGGUUGUAAACUUCUUUUCUCAGAAAAGAAUUAUGACGGUAUCUGAGGAAUAAGCAUUGGCUAACUCUGUGCCAGCAGCCGCGGUAAGACAGAGGAUGCAAGCGUUAUCCGGAAUGAUUGGGCGUAAAGCGUCUGUAGGUUGUUUAAAAAGUAUUCUGUCAAAGAUUAGGGCUUAACCCUAGAUAGGCAGAAUAAACUUUUAAGCUAGAGUUUGGUAGAGGCAGAGGGAAUUCCCGGUGGAGCGGUGAAAUGCGUAGAUAUCGGGAGGAACACCAAAGGCGAAGGCACUCUGCUGGGCCAAUACUAACACUGAGAGACGAAAGCGAGGGGAGCAAAUGGGAUUAGAUACCCUGGUAGUCC
This 426-nucleotide ribosomal RNA is filed under the name uncultured bacterium. RNAcentral's name for it is "partial 16S ribosomal RNA". It matches the Rfam family "Bacterial small subunit ribosomal RNA", at positions 354 to 796 of the family's 1533-position model. The record is from RNAcentral.